GGGGCCGAUCGGUAUCGACCGGGCAGGGAAUGCCCGGCGUGGCGCGUCGCGGCGCACGCUGGCCGCGUUAACAAGCGUGCAAACUCAUACUUGCCAACACGCAGUAUGCCCUCGCGGCCUAAUUAGGCCGCAUGGCCCGCCUAUGACGCCCGAUGGUGGGCGGGCCAACGACUAUCGGGAUCACCUCGUCUGACACGGCUCCGAGGCCGGCGAGGGACACUUAACCGGGGCUGGUCCCGCGGCGGGUGGCGAUGCCCAACCCGCGGGGCGAGACUUAAAUCACCGCCUACACGCGUAGAAGCGCCGAGCGGACUGUCACGGGACGGGGGUUCGAUUCCCCCCGGCUCCACUC
Molecule: transfer-messenger RNA, 352 nt
Filed under: Phycisphaerales
Lineage: Bacteria; Pseudomonadati; Planctomycetota; Phycisphaerae
Also listed under: 1 other name
Description: JACKHC01 sp020639235 Standard tmRNA
Rfam family: transfer-messenger RNA
About the family: Bacterial tmRNA, also known as 10Sa RNA or SsrA, is named for its dual tRNA and mRNA-like properties. Its role is to liberate the mRNA from a stalled ribosome.
Source: RNAcentral